Molecule: ribosomal RNA, 616 nt
Filed under: Cutaneotrichosporon moniliiforme
Lineage: Eukaryota; Fungi; Basidiomycota; Tremellomycetes; Trichosporonales; Trichosporonaceae
Description: LSU rRNA
Rfam family: Eukaryotic large subunit ribosomal RNA
Source: RNAcentral
CGGAGGAAAAGAAACUAACAAGGAUUCCCUUAGUAACGGCGAGUGAACCGGGAAAAGCUCAAAUUUGUAAUCUGGCUGUCUUCGAUAGUCCGAGUUGUAAUCUAUAGACGUGUUUUCCGUGCUGGACCGUAUCUAAGUCCCUUGGAACAGGGUAUCAAAGAGGGUGACAAUCCCGUGCUUGAUACGACCACCAGUGCUCUGUGAUACACGCUCUACGAGUCGAGUUGUUUGGGAAUGCAGCUCAAAAUGGGUGGUAAAUUCCAUCUAAAGCUAAAUAUUGGCGAGAGACCGAUAGCGAACAAGUACCGUGAGGGAAAGAUGAAAAGCACUUUGGAAAGAGAGUUAAACAGUACGUGAAAUUGUUGAAAGGGAAACGAUUGAAGUCAGUCGUGUUCUUUGGAUUCAGCUAGUUCUUCUAGUCUACUUCCUUUGAACGGGUCAACAUCAGUUUUGUCCGGUGGAUAAAGAUAGUAGGAAUGUAGCUCCCUCGGGAGUGUUAUAGACUAUUAUUGCAUGCACUGGGUGAGACUGAGGACUGCAGCUCGCCUUUUGGCCGGCCUUCGGGUACGUUCGAGCUUAGGAUGUUGACAUAAUGGCUUUAAACGACCCGUCUUGA